UUAUUUUGAAUAAUAUUGGUUUGUAUUUUUAUACUGUAAAGAUACAAAUCCGGUAUUAAAAUACCCGGUUUUUUUCAAAACAUAAAAAAAUAUUUUGUUUUCAUGCAUACGGCCAGGUCUCUCAAAAAUAAUAAAAAAUCAUAUUGUAUUUUCGUAUAACAAAGAAAAUUUCAAAAAUAUGUAUUAGCAUAUAUUUUGGCUUUAAUAACCAGUUUAUUAAAGUUACGAGAACUAGGCCAAUAUUUCAAAAAUUCCAAAAAACAUAUUUUGUUUUCUUUUAAUAUCUGGGGUUACGACCUUAUACGUAAGACGUAUUCCGGAUAUUAAAUUCUUUUGUUGACAUCAGAAUUACCCGAUAAGAUAAGGAUCUCCUUACCGAGGAGGACUUUUCUUAAACCAUAGAUGGACCAACAACUAGAAAACACGACAGGACCUUAGGUUUUAUCAGAUAAUAAAACAAUGCAGCCUACCUUAAGUAGAGCGUAUUUGGGGUGCUAAUACCUUCCCUUUACGCAACCAGUCCCCGUACCCGAUCUCUAAGACCAGUUAGGGUUCCUAGUGACCAAAAUACUAGGUGGCGACUCCCAUUCCAUUUAACUGAUAAAAGACAAGAAUUUCUUGUCUCCCCAUAUUUGCCACACAUUAAAUACAUUUUUAGGGUGAAUGUUUUCGCCGCGACGCC
Molecule: long non-coding RNA, 682 nt
Filed under: Populus trichocarpa (black cottonwood)
Lineage: Eukaryota; Viridiplantae; Streptophyta; Magnoliopsida; Malpighiales; Salicaceae
Description: long non-coding RNA (PTRI_LNC000665)
Source: RNAcentral